GAGAGUCAGGUGUCAGGACAGCUCAGUGAACUACUGGUGCAUCUUGGGGCUAAAGCUACUACAGCUAACGUCCUAAGGCAAGAGAGAAAUGUCAGAGGGAGAGUGUCAGAUUGAAGAAAUUGAACUAGUGGGCAGGCAGUUAACCCACUGUUCCCCAGGAGCCAAGUACGUGGAUGUCAAUCAAGGCAGCCCCCGGCACCUCUCCAAUCAGAAAUGUGACUGAAACAGCGAGCGCAGCAGCGUACAUAACUGAAAUGCAAUCCAGAACACACCAAUCAAUCGAUAAUCAAUCAACAAAGAGGUAUACUUACGAGGCACACAAAAGGAGACCUGUUUGAUCACCAUGCACUGCAAAAUCAUUCCGACUAUGGAUACGGAGAACGUCAACACAUUAACAUCAACACGCCAGAGGAAAGGGGGAUACCUAGUCAGUUGUACAACUCAAUGCCUUCAGGAUAUACCCAUUGGACUUGGGGCUCUGCUGGGAGUUUACCUCAUAUUUGCAUGUUUUUAUUCUGCUUUGCAACAAAAAUCAUAAUAAAACAUUGACAACUAAAAUAUUUGUGUUAUUGUUGUGUGGCGGUUCAGAAACUAACCCCAAAAGGUUAUU
Molecule: long non-coding RNA, 610 nt
Organism: Oncorhynchus keta (chum salmon)
Lineage: Eukaryota; Metazoa; Chordata; Actinopteri; Salmoniformes; Salmonidae
Exons: 6
Source: RefSeq, a predicted model, not a curated record